RNAcentral lists this ribosomal RNA (468 nucleotides) under uncultured bacterium. RNAcentral describes it as "partial 16S ribosomal RNA". It matches the Rfam family "Bacterial small subunit ribosomal RNA", at positions 28 to 507 of the family's 1533-position model. The record is from RNAcentral.
GAUGAACGCUGGCGGCGUGCUUAACACAUGCAAGUCGAACGGAAAGGCCCGGCGCUUGUGGGGUGGUCGUGUGGGGAAGGGGGGAGUAACACGUGAGUAACCUGUCCUUGUCUGUGGGAUAACUUUAGGAAACUGGGGCUAAUACCGGAGAGGAGCUCCUGAUGCAUGGGGGGGGUUGGAAAGAUUCGGCGGUGGGGGAUGGACUCGCGGGUUAUCAGCUUGUUGGUGGGGUUGUGGCUGACCAAGGUUUUGACGGGUAGCCGGCCUGAGAGGGUGGCCGGCCACCUUGGGCCUGCGAUACGGCCCAGACUCCUACCGGCGGCAGCAGUCGGAAAUAUUGCACAAUGGGCGGACGCCUGAUACAGCAACGCCGCGUGCGGGAUGACGGCCUUCGGGUUGUAAACCGCUUUCGCCUGUGCCGAAGCGUGAGUGACGGUAAUGGGUAAAGAAGCACCGGCUAACUACGUG